CUGCCUACGGGAGGCAGCAGUGGGGAAUAUUGCACAAUGGGGGAAACCCUGAUGCAGCGACGCCGCGUGAGUGAAGAAGUAAUUCGUUAUGUAAAGCUCUAUCAGCAGGGAAGAAAAUGACGGUACCUGAGUAAGAAGCCCCGGCUAACUACGUGCCAGCAGCCGCGGUAAUACGGAGGAUGCGAGCGUUAUCCGGAUUUAUUGGGUUUAAAGGGUGCGCAGGCGGUCUGUUAAGUCAGCGGUCAAAGCCCGGGGCUCAACCCCGGCCCGCCGUUGAAACUGGCAGUCUCGAGUUGGAGAGAAGG
This 305-nucleotide ribosomal RNA is filed under the name uncultured bacterium. RNAcentral's name for it is "bacterial SSU rRNA". It matches the Rfam family "Bacterial small subunit ribosomal RNA", at positions 335 to 658 of the family's 1533-position model. The record is from RNAcentral.